CUCCUAAAUACAUAGCGCCGCACGCGCAAGACACUGACUCAGUCAACAAGUUUCUGCCCAGCAGCCUGAUCCGAAGGGAUUGGGGAAUCUUUGAGCCUGAGUCGUGAUGGGGAUUGAAGCUUGCAAUUAUUCUCCAUGAACGAGGAAUGUCUUGUAGCCGCGUUUCAUCAGAACGCAGCGAAUACGUCCCUGGUUCUUGUACACACCGCCCGUCGUUGCCUGUAAUGGGUUGUGAGUAGAGCCCUUUGGAGAUUAGAGGAUGGGGCAACCUGUCUUCGGAUCAAAUUUGGGCAAUACUUGCAAUCUAGAAGAGGCAAAAGUCGUANCA
This 328-nucleotide ribosomal RNA is filed under the name uncultured eukaryote. RNAcentral's name for it is "partial 18S ribosomal RNA". It matches the Rfam family "Eukaryotic small subunit ribosomal RNA", at positions 1470 to 1796 of the family's 1831-position model. The record is from RNAcentral.